GUGGGGGAUAUUGCGCAAUGGGGGGAACCCUGACGCAGCAACGCCGCGUGAAGGAAGAAGGCCUUCGGGUUGUAAACUUUUGUCGCAAGGGAAGAAGACAGUGACGGUACCUUGUGAGGAAGCCACGGCUAACUACGUGCCAGCAGCCGCGGUAAUACGUAGGUGGCGAGCGUUGUCCGGAUUUACUGGGUGUAAAGGGCGCGUAGGCGGAUCAGCAAGUCAGUCGUGAAAUACCGGGGCUCAACCCCGGGGCUGCGAUUGAAACUGUUGACCUUGAGUGCCGGAGAGGAAAGCGGAAUUCCUAGUGUAGCGGUGAAAUGCGUAGAUAUUAGGAGGAACACCAGUGGCGAAGGCGGCUUUCUGGACGGUAACUGACGCUGAGGCGCGAAAGUGUGGGGAGCAAACAGGAUUAGAAACCCGAGUAGUCC
Molecule: ribosomal RNA, 428 nt
Filed under: uncultured bacterium
Lineage: Bacteria
Description: bacterial SSU rRNA
Rfam family: Bacterial small subunit ribosomal RNA
Source: RNAcentral